CAUUACCGCUACGUAAAUUCCUCCUGUUAUGGCAUGUUUUUCUGCUCGUUAACAUUAAUAAUCAAAAUGGUGAAGGCGUGUGUGGCGGUUGGUUGCAAUAACAGAGAGGAUAGACGGAGAGACUUGAAGUUCUACCGUAUUCCAAGAGACCCGGAGAGGAGAGCGAGAUGGACUGCUGCAAUUCGACGAGAAAACUGGGCUCCAAACGAUUACCACAGAUUAUGUAGUAGUCAUUUUAUAUAUGGUAAGAUGCAUUUAAUAUAUAUUUAGAGGGUUUUGGGCUGACAACCACAAUUAAGAUCAUUACGAGGCUAAUCGCCGACAACAUACAGUUUCAAAUUCAAGAUGCUUAUUUCUUCCACCAUCAUUACAUUUUGAAUAAUAUUUAGCUGGUACCAAGUGAAAGAAGCUGGCCUCGUCUACGGAUCAUCAGUUAAACUGGUGUGUCCAAACCUUUUGCAAAGGGGGCCAGAUUUGGUGUGGUAAAAAUGCGGGGGGCUACCUUGGCUGAUUUACAUAGAACAAUAUAUUUAAACAAAUGUUAGCAAGCCCUCCUGUGUGUCACAUUUGCUUUAUUAUUUUUUUUAAUUCAUAAUUUCAACAGUCUCGUCUUUGUGGCGUUCUCUUUCGACACUCGGGCUCUUGCGAAAUACUGCUGCUGUGAAAUUAAAUUAGCUUCAAGUUGCUGUAAUUUCUCGCUGCGUAUCUUCCCUGUAAUGUUGUCGUACAUGUCAGCAUGUCUUGUUCAGUAAUAUUAUUAUUGCGUCACAUCGAACUCUUUGAACACAGCGACUGUCUCUUUGCAAAUGAGGCAGACACAGUUGUUGCGUGUUUUCUUGAAGAAAUAGUCCAAUAUCCACCUAACCUUGAAGCGUCGGCCAUCGCAGUCAACUUUUUUUUAAUUGAUUGUCGCCAUUUUAGAAAAUUGGAAGUAAAGGGUCACACGGGGUAAUGUUGCUUAGAGGGAAGAGUUUUCAGGGAAGGAGCAUAUAUGUGGCUGACCCCUAUGUUGUUGCAACAUGGUGAAAGCCUACAGGAUGUGACCCACACAUGCAUUUGCCUGUAAGGCUGAGUAGUAACUACUACAACUUGGAGCUUUGGUUCAUUUUCAAAGAACAACCAAAUAAUAACAAAAUAAAUGACCCAAAUUCCGAUUAUUUGUGGGGAAAAAAACAGAUGCAAUCACGAGAUCAGAGAACUAUUGUUAUCACUAACGAAAUUCAGUAUCCAUUCAUAUUGGCAUAGCGUUUCCAUGAUGAUCCAGAAUAGCCUUGCUUGGUUUUGAAGGUAUGUUCCAGUCGAUCUUUUUAUGAUGCCCCUUCAAAUUAAAGCAGAAUUGCACUCCAAAUGAUUCAUCCAAUCAUUUGAGGCAAAAUUUUUAAAUGCCACUCUAAAAUGGCGAUUGUUUUGUUUAACGGCCGUUGGUUCGGUGUCAACAUUGGUAGGGACGAAUAUAAUGCAAAUAAGGUUGCUCAAAAGUUGGUGGGGACAACUUUAGCAUCCUGAAAAGUUGGUUGUGUUAUGUCCCUAUCGUCCCUAUGCAAACCUUCGCCCUUGUUUUAUUUGCAUGAAUCAUUUAAACCUGACUGGUUGGUGUAUGCAUGGAAACACUUUUGUGAUCGUUUAACUACUGUAUUUAAUAUAAACCUAUACUUUCAAUUGUGGAAAACUUUGACAGUCAAUCAACAGGGGGACAUGGAAAGAGAGGAUUGGAAGUGAAAUAGAGGUAUUUGUAAAAGUGUGUAUAUUCAUUGAUUCAAAACUCGAAGGAAGUGACUCGGUUAAAUUCUUACUAUACAUUAGGGUUUUCCAGAACAGCCAUAGGGGAAGGACUGUGGCAUCUUCAUGUUGAUGGUAGGUGAGUUUAACAGUCUAUUUUUUUCCUCUGUGAUAUUUGUAUUCAUUUAUCCAUUUGUAGUAUGCUCUUUACUCUUUUCUGGAUGCUCUUUUUGAGUUUAACCAUUGUAAGUUGAAGUUCACCGAAUCAUUCAAAUUGGGCCACAAAAUAUCCUUGUCGUUAUUCUUUAUUUACACUUGUUUUUAAUUUUUGUUAGACUGAUAUGCCAACUCUCAGGAAGUGGUGGUGUAUAUUGCUAGCGGACAAUUCCAAACUUGGGUGCAUGCCACAGGAAAGAGUUUGCCCAUUGGACAGAUAAGGCUAAAGCAUCACUCCAGGGUGAAGUGACACCAGUCUAUCAGUUGAAGAAGUGAAAUUUGGAUAUAAUUGCUGAGGAAGAGGUGCAACCACAGCUCCUUCAAGUUAGUGGUGGCCCACUGCAAGAAGAUGUGGCAGGAAAAAAGUGAACAGUUUUGGUAAAAGGAUUGUGCAAGACAGCACAAAAGCCUCGGACAGGGUUAGGGGGAAAAAAAUCAAUGCAGUAGGAGUUCCCAAGCAUUCUGCCGAUGGAAGAGGAUGAGCUCGGACGACAAUGUCUUGGAGCCAUUCAAGUUCUGUUUCAACCAUCUGGAAGACGAAUUAACCUUUUCUGAGGAGAUUGUUGACUAAAGAAAAUAUCUGGUAUUCUCUCAGUAAUAAUAAA
Long non-coding RNA from Corythoichthys intestinalis (scribbled pipefish), 2540 nucleotides. RefSeq lists it as uncharacterized. The record is from RefSeq and is a predicted model, not a curated record. The transcript is spliced from 4 exons. Lineage: Eukaryota; Metazoa; Chordata; Actinopteri; Syngnathiformes; Syngnathidae.